RNAcentral lists this ribosomal RNA (616 nucleotides) under Staphylococcus aureus. RNAcentral's name for it is "partial 23S ribosomal RNA". It matches the Rfam family "Bacterial large subunit ribosomal RNA", at positions 1594 to 2211 of the family's 2925-position model. The record is from RNAcentral. Lineage: Bacteria; Bacillati; Bacillota; Bacilli; Caryophanales; Staphylococcaceae.
UUGAUUUCACACUGCCGAGAAAAGCCUCUAGAUAGAAAAUAGGUGCCCGUACCGCAAACCGACACAGGUAGUCAAGAUGAGAAUUCUAAGGUGAGCGAGCGAACUCUCGUUAAGGAACUCGGCAAAAUGACCCCGUAACUUCGGGAGAAGGGGUGCUCUUUAGGGUUAACGCCCAGAAGAGCCGCAGUGAAUAGGCCCAAGCGACUGUUUAUCAAAAACACAGGUCUCUGCUAAACCGUAAGGUGAUGUAUAGGGGCUGACGCCUGCCCGGUGCUGGAAGGUUAAGAGGAGUGGUUAGCUUCUGCGAAGCUACGAAUCGAAGCCCCAGUAAACGGCGGCCGUAACUAUAACGGUCCUAAGGUAGCGAAAUUCCUUGUCGGGUAAGUUCCGACCCGCACGAAAGGCGUAACGAUUUGGGCACUGUCUCAACGAGAGACUCGGUGAAAUCAUAGUACCUGUGAAGAUGCAGGUUACCCGCGACAGGACGGAAAGACCCCGUGGAGCUUUACUGUAGCCUGAUAUUGAAAUUCGGCACAGCUUGUACAGGAUAGGUAGGAGCCUUUGAAACGUGAGCGCUAGCUUACGUGGAGGCGCUGGUGGGAUACUACCCUAGCUG